GUUUAAGCCGCCGCGGUAAUACGUAGGUGGCAAGCGUUGUCCGGAAUUAUUGGGCGUAAAGCGCGCGCAGGCGGUCCUUUAAGUCUGAUGUGAAAGCCCACGGCUCAACCGUGGAGGGUCAUUGGAAACUGGGGGACUUGAGUGCAGAAGAGGAGAGUGGAAUUCCACGUGUAGCGGUGAAAUGCGUAGAGAUGUGGAGGAACACCAGUGGCGAAGGCGACUCUCUGGUCUGUAACUGACGCUGAGGCGCGAAAGCGUGGGGAGCAAACAGGAUUAGAAACCCUUGUAGUCC
This 292-nucleotide ribosomal RNA is filed under the name uncultured bacterium. RNAcentral's name for it is "partial 16S ribosomal RNA". It matches the Rfam family "Bacterial small subunit ribosomal RNA", at positions 505 to 796 of the family's 1533-position model. The record is from RNAcentral.